This 9657-nucleotide long non-coding RNA is filed under the name Citrus sinensis (sweet orange). RNAcentral describes it as "long non-coding RNA (CSIN_LNC002328)". The record is from RNAcentral. Lineage: Eukaryota; Viridiplantae; Streptophyta; Magnoliopsida; Sapindales; Rutaceae.
AGCAGGCAAGUUGAUGGGUUAUGACAACGCCAUUUUUGCACUUGCUCCCUACGGUCCGUACUGGCGUGAUAUUCGCAAAAUAGCCACCACAGAGCUUCUCUCAAGUCACCGGCUUGAAUUGCUGAAGCACGUUCGCUACUCAGAAGUUGACACUUUCAUCAAAGAUUUGUACUCACUUUGCUCAGAAAACGCAUUCAAUCCUGCGAAGGUGGUGAUCAGCAAGUUAAUCGAGCAGUUGACUUUCAAUAUAAGCCUGAAACUGAUAGCUGGGAAGCGAUUUUCAGCUAAAGAUUAUGAGGAACAAGGCAGCGAGGCUUGGCGUAUCAAUAGAGCAAUAAAAGAAGCAACGCACCUAUUCGGGGUUUUCAUCUUGGGAGAUGCCAUACCAUGGCUUGAAUGGAUUGACUUUCAGGGUCAUGUGGGAUCUAUGAAGAGUACUGCUAAGGAAAUUGACGAUGUGAUCGGCAACUGGCUUAAAGAACGUCUUCAAAAUAAAUUACAGGGCGAAGGCCAUAAUGGUAAAGGUGACCUCAUAGACGUGUUGCUUUCAAAACUGCAAGAAGAUGCUGUGAUGGGCGGACAUACACGUGAUACUGUCGUCAAAGCAACAGCUCUAGUAAGUUUGACUUAAUAAUUUUCUCUGCUUGUCAGCAACAAUAACUGAAUCCGUAUACAUAUUUGCAGAUUUUAAUCCUUACAGGCUCAGAAAGCACGUAUCUUGGAAUAAUUUGGACAAUGUCCCUGUUGUUGAACCACCCGAAAGAGCUGAAGAAGGCACAGGAAGAGUUGGACGUCCAUGUUGGAAGAGAUAGAUGGGUAAACGAGUCAGAUAUGAAGAAACUAAAAUACCUUCGAGCCAUUGUCAAAGAAACUCUACGGAUUUACCCACCGGGUCCUGUAACAGGAAUUCGGGAAGCCAUGGAAGAUUGUGAAAUUGGUGGUUAUCAUGUCCCGAAAGGCACGCGUUUGAUCGUGAACAUAUGGAAGCUGCACAGAGACCCUCGGAUGUGGGAAAAUCCGUGCGAGUUCAGACCAGAAAGGUUUCUGACAACUCAUGCUGAUGUUGAUGUCAACACUCAACAUUUUGAGUAUGUUCCGUUCAGCUUCGGAAGAAGAUCGUGCCCUGGAAUGACAUCUGGCUUACAAAUUGUUCAAUUAACGCUUGCUCGGAUUCUUCAGGGGUUUGAUUUGGCAACCGUGGGGGGCACACCUGUUGAUAUGCAGAUUGGUUUGGGCCUUGCCUUGCCCAAAUCGAACCCUCUUGAAGUUAUCAUAAAACCUCGCCUCGCUGAGGAUCUUUUUCGAUGCAUUUGAAGAUUUUAUCAUUUUAAACGAUCAUUUACGUGUAUUAUCAGAAAGAACUAAUGUGAAGGCGACUAAUGCGCAAUAACAUUUUUUCUAAGUGAAGGAUCUUUUUCGCUAAGAACUAAAUGAUAAUACACGUAAUUCAACAGACACGUAAUCAAAGGUCAUUUGUAGAAAGCUACAAAAGACCCAUAUCUAUAUUAAUUAUGAUUUAUCCUAAUUUAAAUAGAAAAGUUUAUUUUAAUAAGAUAUAUAUUUAGAUUAGAGGAAUACAACUCAAAUAAGCUAUGCCUAAUUAAUGAAACUCUAAAUAGAAAACCUAAUUAAAGUAGAAUACAAAUUAAUUAAGUCAUUCCUAAAUAUUAUAAAUUUCAAUCUAAUUAGAAUUUCUUCAAUUUGCUCGUCACAUUUGGUCUCUUUUUUUUUUUUUUUUUUCUAUACAUAUGGUGAAAAAUGGUAACUGUCCAUUAAUUAAUAACAUUUUUUUUUUUUUAAUAAAUCUCGUUUGAAGUAGGGGGUGGGCACCACCACCCCAUGAAACCAACGUAACCCAUUAAUUAAUAACAUUUUCUAAUAGAGUUGGACUAUUGACAUCCCUCCAAAAUCCUUUUAAAACCCCUUUCCAUUACAAUUAUAUUUAAGAAUAAAUACUCUAUUUUAUCUCACUUCAAACUUUUGUAUUUUCUCUACUAUCAAACUCGCACAUGUAAUUUUUUUUUCUCAAAUUCUCUAUAAUUUUUUCUUCAAUUACUAAGACAAUCUAUUGGUAAUAAACAAAAUACAUUCUGACAAAAUUAUCUGCCUUUUUUUAAGGCUCAUAAUAAAACUUUUUACAUCAUAAUUUUAUAGAUAUUUUAUUUAAUUAAUUGAUUUUUAUCAAGAAAUUUAUCACCCAUAAACGUUUGUUUGUGAGGAGCGAGAAAAUAAUAGAAAAUUAAAAGAUUCACAAAUUAAAUGUGUUUAUUUAGAAUAAGGGUAUUUUUGGCAUUAAUUUUAGCAUUAUUGAAAAAUGGGUUUCAUAAGAAUUUUGGAGGGGUGCCAAUAGUCCAACUCUUUUUAAUAAAUUCCAUGAUCACAAAUUAAAGACAACCACACACGGCCAAAACUCAUGUCGCUCCACCUAGAGCUGGCAAAAUUUGACACGACCUGAUUAACCAACAUGAGCACGACACGAAUAAACAUGUAUGAGUUGUCAAAUUUAACAGAUUAUUAAAUGGGUUGGAUCUUGGUUGAUACGAUUUUUUUCUGUAUUGGGUUAGGGUUAAAAUUUUUGAUCUAUUUUUUAUUCUUGAUCAAUGACAAUAUUAUAUUUUUUUAUUUAAAAUUAAUUUAUAUGUUUUUAUCAUCAAAACUCAAAUAUUGGAUGUGAUUAUCUAUUUUUUUUAAGGAUGAACAUAUAUACAAUAUUUAAUUUAUAAAAUUUUAUUUAGAUUUAGAACUCUAAUAGUAUAAAUAUGUAAAAUGUUAGUAGACAUGUAUAUUUUAUAAUAUUGAUAUAUCAUAUUAUUUACAUAUAUAUAAUUAAAACUUCAAUAGUAUAAAAUGUGUAAUAUUUUGGUACAUAUGUAUAAUUUAUAAUAUCAAUAAAUUUUUGUGUGCCCAAUAACUCUCUUAAUAUUUAUAUGUUUAAUAUUAAACAUAUAAAUAUUAAGAGAGUUAUUGGGUAACUUAUUUAUUUUCUAUACCGAAUUUGAAUCUUAAUAUUUUGACACGAUUAUUAAAUAAGUCAUAUUUGACAUGAUUAUUAAAUUUAAUACGAUACAAAACUGAUACGACACAAACAUGACUCGAUCAUCCAAUUUAACAGCCGGGGCUUCACCAGCCACUACCAGAAGAUCCAUACUUGAAAUGAUCCUUCAAUUUCAUCAAUUUUCAGUUCGCAGGAUAGAUCCAUGGCCCCACCAAAAUGUCGCCUGCCACAUGUUCACAAUCAUAGCCAUUUCUCACUUUCAUACUCGAUAGUGAUACGGGUUUUAACUUGGUCUGUAUCUAUUUAAUAGUUUUGAGUAAUUACACCGUACGACCUUUGGCUUUAAAGUGUAAACAAAACCAGCAUCAAAAUAUAAUUGCAAAAAAAUCAAUGUUAUUUUUGAAAAUUUUAUAUUAGAAUAAAUCAAUUAAAUCUCUCUCUUUAUUUUCUUUUCUUUUCAAUUUAAGGUCUAUUGAUGAUUGAAUUUGAUCACUAAAAUUGUUUUAAUAUAAAAAUAAGGUUAGUUGAACUCACUUAAAUACUUAAUAUACUCACUUUUUAAUAAAAAAAAAUUAUUACUAAAUUACUUGUUGUGUAAUUUACUCUUAAGUACAACACAGUAAAGUUAAAUAAAAUAUUUUCAUCUUGCAUCCAUUAUAUAGAUAUAAUUAUCAUAAUACAUUUUUUCCAUCCAACAUUAAUUAUCGACACUUUUUUUCCCAUGCGAAUGGACCUUGAUUACGUGUCUUUUUUGCUAAGAACUAAACAAUCAUUAAAUGUUCAUUUACAUAAUUCAAUUUCUCAAAAGGUUAUUGCUAUUCAUGUAAAUGAUCGUUUAAAAUGAUAAUACACGACUAAUGCGACUAAUGUGCACAUUAGUGGGUUAUCACAAACAAACUCAAUUUUUUUUCUAAGUGAAGGCCACUAAUGUGCAAUUAUAACUCUUGAAGUAUUUUUCAAUUUUGAUUUUCCAUGCCAGCUGAGUUUGUCUUAUUUAGCUAUUGUAUUUGAGUUUUUUUUUUUUUCUUUUUUUUGGGUUAUCUUAGUUUGUUUGCCUUAUUUAAUUAAUUUCAAAAUAGCCUACUAUAAAUGGAAUUGAAUUUUCAAACCUUAUAUAAGAUGGUAAUUCAGUUUUUUUUUUUUUUUUUGAAUUUUACUUUUUAAGAGUAGUGCUAUUUUGAACAAAGAGCAUAUUAAGUGAUCACAGUUUAGUUUAUACAGUAGGAAAGAAAUAACCGAAGGAAGAAAAAGCAAGAAAAAUCUUAAAGAGUAUUCCAGUUUAGUAGUCACCCACUCUUUAUUUGUUAACUUUUAUUUUUAAUAGAAAUAAUGUUGAUCUAAUUUCAACAAAUUCAGUAAACUCCUAGAAGUGCAAUAAUUAUGAGAUUUAGCUCGUUAAACAUGUUAAAACAGCAUAACAUCACAUUUUAUUCUAUUUUCUCUACUCUGCCGAACCAUGAGAUAAUCUAUUCAUUGCAAGUAGACCAACAAACCUUCAAGACCACAAAUUCCGAAGCAUAAUAAAAUUAAUUUGGCCACAAAAAAAUAAAAUCCUCUAACCUAAACCAACGAAGUAUGGACAUACAGCAGAUCUUUCAACAGCUGCCUUGGAAGAAAACAAAUCGUUUUUUACCACAGAAAUGAUUUCAUCUGCGCAACAGCCAUAGCCUAAGAUUUUUUUUUGAAAAAUUAUGGACCGGUCACUUAUUUUUUUUAAAUUUUUUUUUACUGGAAUCUAUAUUAAGUUAUAUAUAUUUUUACUUAUCCACUUCUAUUUGGAGAUCGUUUUGAAAACUAACGGAAUAUUGUAUAAAUAAUUUUUUUACUCUUAAAUAUAAAAGAUAAAUUAUCUACCGACCACUUUUUUUUUUCGUAUUUUUUCAAAAAUGCACUAUUCUUAAUUUUUUUUUUUUACUAAACUCCACUUGAAGUUAUAUUGUUUUGCACCUAUCCACUACUGUAUCAUUGUGAAAUGAUAAUUUUACCCUUAUGAUGUCAGUAAAUUUCUAACGGUGUUAUAACGAGAGUGGACCAAUGAAAAAAAUAUUAACUUUAGGUGGAGCACUGUAAAAAAAAAAAUUAUGUAUUUUUAAAAAACGGUAAAAAAAACAAGUGAACAGUGAAUAAUUUCCCUAUUUUUUUUAAGCAAUCACUAUCUUAGAGCUGCUUUAAAAUAUAACACAAAUCACAACCAUACACAUGUAAAGUGAUAAAUAAUAAAAAAUAAAUUAUAAAUUUAAUCACGUGGAUUUUAAUGCGUUUUCUAUCUUAGAGCAGUUUCAACGUAACCAAAUUCUUUUUUUUUAAUAUGCUUCACGAAAUCUCCACCUCACAAAUAAAAUAAGGAAAUAUGUAAAGUAUUAUUUGACUGACGCCUACCUAAUAACUCAAAAUCUAUUAUAAAUAGUAGUGCAAGUCAUAUGUAGCUUCGCCACAACACUCUCCCUAAACCACCAUGGAUUUUAUUUCUUUCAAGCUACCAAUUUUGGAGCUCUUAGCUUUGCUGAUUCUUUAUUUCUUAUGGGGAAUCGUAGCAAAAUCCAAAAACAAAAGCAAGAAAAAUACAGCCCCCGAACCAUUUGGGGCAUGGCCACUCAUCGGCCAUUUGCCUCUUCUGAUUGCCGAAGAACCUGUUUGCAAAAUACUCGGAGCCAUUGCUGACAAAUAUGGCCCCAUCUACUCCCUCAGGCUCGGCAAGCAUCCAACGUUGAUUGUGAGCAGUUGGGAAAUUGUGAAGGAUUGCUUCACUACCAAUGACAGAGUUUUGGCCACAAGGCCAAGUAUAGCAGCAGGCAAGUACUUGGGUUACGACAACGCCGUUUUUGCGCUUGCUCCCUACGGCCGGUACUGGCGUGAUAUUCGCAAAAUAGCCACCACAGAUCUGCUCUCCAGUCACCGGCUUGAAUUGCUAAAGCACGUUCGCUACUCAGAAGUUGACACUUUCAUCAAAGACUUGUACUCACGUUGCUCAGAAAACGCAUUCAAUCCUGCGAAGGUGGUGAUCAGCAAGUUAAUAGAACAACUGACUUUCAAUAUAAGCCUACGACUGAUAGCCGGAAAGAGAUUUUCAGCUAGAGAAUUUGGUGAACAAGGCAGCGAGGGAUGGCGUAUCAAUAGAGCCAUAAAAGAAGCUACGUAUCUGACAGGGGUUUUUGUUUUGGGAGAUGCCAUACCGUGGCUUGAAUGGAUUGAUUUUCAGGGUCACAUAGGCUCUAUGCGGAGGACUGCAAAGAAAAUUGACGACGUGAUCGGCAACUGGCUUGAAGAACAUGCCCAGAGAAAAUUACAGGGUGAAGGUGACUUCAUGGACGUGUUGCUAUCGAAAAUUGAAGACAAUACUGUGAUGAGUGGUCAUACAAGGGAUACUGUCAUCAAGGCAACAGCUCUUGUAAGUUUGAUUGUAUAAUUUUCUGUUUUCUAUAAUGAUAAUUAUUCAAUGGUAAACAAUUGAGACGGAAACUCAUACAACUAAUCAAAAUUAUUCUGUAGAUUCUAAUAUUUACAGGCUCAGAAAGCACAUAUCUCGGAAUAAUUUGGACACUGUCUUUGUUACUCAAUCACCCGAAAGAGCUAAAGAAGGCACAGGAAGAGUUGGACGUCCAUGUUGGAAGAGAUAGAUGGGUAAACGAGUCAGAUAUGAAGAACCUAAAAUACCUUCGAGCCAUUGUCAAAGAAACUCUGCGGAUUUACCCACCGGGUCCUGUAACAGGAAUUCGGGAAGCCAUGGAAGAUUGUGAAAUUGGUGGCUAUCAUGUCCCGAAAGGCACGCGUUUGAUCGUGAACGUAUGGAAGCUGCACAGAGACCCUCGGAUGUGGGAAAAUCCGUGCGAGUUCAGACCAGAAAGGUUUCUGACAACUCAUGCUGAUGUUGAUGUCAACACUCAACAUUUUGAGUAUAUUCCGUUCAGCUUCGGAAGAAGAUCGUGCCCUGGAAUGACAUCUGGCUUGCAGAUUGUUCAAUUAACGCUUGCUCGGAUUCUUCAGGGGUUUGAUUUGGCAACCGUGGGGGGUAUACCCGUUGACAUGAAGGAAGGCUUGGGCAUUGCCUUGCCUAAACUGAACCCUGUUGAAGUUGUCAUCAAACCGCGCCUUUCUGAUGAUCUUUAUCAACGCCUCUGAAGUUUUUUUAUGUUUGAAAAUGUAUGAAGCUGCUUGACUAAUGUCAAGUUGUGCCCUGAGUGCCUGGAGUUUGUGACGGAUGUACGUAUCUCAGUCUAAAGACAAUAAAAUAUAAUAAAACUUUUUAAAAAUAUAUAUAUAAUAUGGACUCGAUCCAUGUGAAAGAAUGGAAAUCCGAUUCAUAUGUGAUUUAUGUUCAAUAGGUGGAAACGAUUAAGAAUUCCCUUCCCCCCCCGCCAUUCUUUUGGAUAGCAUACUAAAUGACUUUAUGUCUAUGAAUCAGUUUUUUUUUUCGGUGUAUUAAACUAUCUGCUAUCCCAACUAAUCUAAAUUCGAGUUAGGUAGGAUCACUAAGGAAGCAAAGCUGUAUCCCAUACUAAUCUAGAUUCGAGCCGGGAACGCAGCUGCUUUUCUAAGUCUAAUACUGAAGACCUUAGUUAAGAUAUAACAGUCUCAUACCAAAUGAUCUACGCGCUUGUUAGUUAUGAAUCAAUUACUUUAUUAUAAGAAGUUAGAUAGAAAAAAGUUCAGACUAAAUAAGAAAUAAUAUAAUUAAUUAAUAUAAAUAUAUAUAUUAUGAUAUAUGUAAUUAAAUUUUAUAUAACUAUUAAUUACAUGAUUGCUCUUCAAAAUAAAUGUAUAUAUAUUAUAAUAAUAAAUGUAUAAAUGUAUAUAUAUAUUAUAUAUAUUAUAAUAGUAUUUGCAUUAAUGUAUGACUACCAUCUCAAAAUAUUCAAAAAUUUCUCAAAGUUCUACUAUUGUGUGGCUGCAACGCUUGUUGACUUGUUGACUACUUGUUUUAAUGAAAUUUCUAAUUGCUUGAAAUAAAGGAGGAUCCAGAUACAUUACAACAACCGCAAAGGUACCAUAACUUUGUCCUCUUCGGAUCAAACGCUUUGCAACAUAGUUUUUUUUACAAGAAAUCAUGUUGUGAUCUCACGAGGUCUCGUGUCGUUUUCAAGAGGACUUGUCAAUGUGAACCAAAGUCAGCCGUCAAGAAUGAAAUCACACAAAAUGUCAAAACAGACGAUGACUUUAAGGCCACUGGGACAGUGUAACUUUUCAAAACAUGUGAACCACGCAACGGUAGUAUGGUUAACUUUCGUCCGCAUGAUAGAAACUAGGGCUGGCACAAUACGGUUCGGUUCGGUUCGGUUCGGUUUAGAAAAAAAUUGAACCGAAUUGAAACCAACCGGUUCUCCCAAAUCGGAAUCGAAAGCAACCCGAAAUUCAGAACCAAACCGAAUCGAACCGAAUCGAACCGAACCGAAAAUUUUCGGCUCGAUUCGGUUUGGUUCUGAAUUUCGGUUCGGUUCAGAUUAUUUCGGUUCUUUUCGGUUUCAACUCUAUAAUUUUCUCACGUAAGAAACUCCCACAGUGUUAACAUUACAUUCAAUAUAAUAAAAUUCAGCAAAAUAAUAAUGCCCCAACACAUUAUAAAUCGACAAAAACAAAAAAUAAUAACAAACCAAAAAUCUCAUGGGUUUCAAAAUCACCAUUUUCCCACAACCAAACAAGGCCUGCACACGAGAUUUCCGUAUCAACAUUUUUAGUAACCAAACAAGGCCAUCAAAAUCCCCAUUUUUCCAACCAAACGAGGCCAACACAUGGGUGUCAAAGCUAGCAAUCGGCAACAACACAAGGCGGAUGUACGGUACAGCAGCUCAGAAGUUGACACUUUCAUCAAAGACUUGUACUCACGUUGCUCAGAAAACGCAUUCAAUCCUGCGAAGGUGGUGAUCAGCAAGUUAAUAGAACAACUGACUUUCAAUAUAAGCCUACGACUGAUAGCCGGAAAGAGAUUUUCAGCUAGAGAAUUUGGUGAACAAGGCAGCGAGGGAUGGCGUAUCAAUAGAGCCAUAAAAGAAGCUACGUAUCUGACAGGGGUUUUUGUUUUGGGAGAUGCCAUACCGUGGCUUGAAUGGAUUGAUUUUCAGGGUCACAUAGGCUCUAUGCGGAGGACUGCAAAGAAAAUUGACGACGUGAUCGGCAACUGGCUUGAAGAACAUGCCCAGAGAAAAUUACAGGGUGAAGGUGACUUCAUGGACGUGUUGCUAUCGAAAAUUGAAGACAAUACUGUGAUGAGUGGUCAUACAAGGGAUACUGUCAUCAAGGCAACAGCUCUUGUAAGUUUGAUUGUAUAAUUUUCUGUUUUCUAUAAUGAUAAUUAUUCAAUGGUAAACAAUUGAGACGGAAACUCAUACAACUAAUCAAAAUUAUUCUGUAGAUUCUAAUAUUUACAGGCUCAGAAAGCACAUAUCUCGGAAUAAUUUGGACACUGUCUUUGUUACUCAAUCACCCGAAAGAGCUAAAGAAGGCACAGGAAGAGUUGGACGUCCAUGUUGGAAGAGAUAGAUGGGUAAACGAGUCAGAUAUGAAGAACCUAAAAUACCUUCGAGCCAUUGUCAAAGAAACUCUGCGGAUUUACCCACCGGGUCCUGUAACAGGAAUUCGGGAAGCCAUGGAAGAUUGUGAAAUUGGUGGUUAUCAUGUCCCGAAAGGCACGCGUUUGAUCGUGAACGUAUGGAAGCUGCACAGAGACC